This is a long non-coding RNA of Corvus hawaiiensis (hawaiian crow), 1844 nucleotides long. RefSeq lists it as uncharacterized. The record is from RefSeq and is a predicted model, not a curated record. The transcript has 3 exons. NCBI's taxonomy places the organism in Eukaryota, Metazoa, Chordata, Aves, Passeriformes, Corvidae.
UGUCUUCCAACAAUAGGUUCAGUUUGUUUUGUGCGAGGUUUUGUUUGGUUUUGUUCUUUUUUUUUUUUUUUCUUAUAAGUAGAAAGAAAAAAACAGGCUUAGACUUCUAUCAAAAGAGAGAUGUGCUAAUACAGCUUCCCGUCUCCUGGAGAAAUUCUUCAAAUAUUGCUGUGGGAAAGAACAGCCUUCUUUCCCCUCCUUUUUUAGAGGACAAGGGAGAGUAGAGGCUACUGCUGCACUUUGCAAGAAGAGAGAUGAUGGGAGCAUGUCUGUGUUCCUGUCUGGUGUGGAUGGAGAAAGAAGUGACAGAAAAGGAGAUCCUUGCCCAACAAGGAGGAAAAGAAUGUUCAAGAAUGGGAUCAGCCCUGAUUUGACUGGUCUGUGCUGAUGGGAGAACUGCACCUUUCCCCCAGUCUGCAGCAUGUUUGUAUCCUGGAAGGCCAAAAAACUUUUGUUUUCUGGACACUGUCACAUUGGAUAGAAUUGUUUUACGGUUGGAGUGGGGUUGUUUUGUUUUGUUUUCUUUCCCAUUGAAUGCAGAUAUUGUACACCAUUGAACAUUGUACAUUGCAUUGUCAAAUGCUGGGGCAGGGGUUACUUUCUUGCUCUGUAUCAGGUGGGCUGACUGAAUCCUUACGACGUGAGACAACCUGCAAAUAAAGCCAAAUGGAACUGAACUCUGUCACAGCUACUGUUUCAAUGGAGGUUAUUUCAGCAGGGAUACCAGUUGUCAUUUUCAAUUUAGGAACAAUCUCUUUGAGUUUAAUUUUUGAAUUAUCAGACAAUUGUAAAGGCAUUUAAUUCCGGUAGCCAAAAUGCAACUUUUUUAAUGUGAUAUGAAGGCUUUUAAAAACAGUUCUUUAAAAAGGAGUCCAUUUGUAUUAAAGAAAGAGCACAUUUUCGCUUACUGCUUAAUUUCUCUUUCUGCUUCUAAUCUGAGCUCCUUUGAAGUGACAACAUCUGAGAUCUAUGUAAAGCUCAAGUGCUGUGUAUGUUUACAUGAAUGAUGUGAUAUUAAGUUGUUGACCUGCCUAUUAUAGAAUUUGUAAGGCACAGAAUUUUUUAUUGCACAGAGAUAAAUUUCACACUAGGGAGAACUGAAGAUGCUGCUUUCCAGUAGAAAUGAAGCCAUUUGUAAGCCAGCUGUAAUAUUUUAACACAAAUAUUCUUUGCUUUUUCAUUAAUAUAGAGAGAAUUAAAUCUUGAUUUUUUUUUUUCUCAUCUCCUCAAGGUACCAACCAGUAUUGUAGGAAGGGAUCUGGCUUUAUAUUUGAAUAUAUUAAAAGUACAUUAAAAAGUGUAAGAAAAAUUAUUCUAGCCAAAGCCUGCUGUAGUUAAAUGAAGAAUUCCUUCAAGUGUAAACAGACAGUGUUAAGCAUGUUUGUAGGGGUGAUACAAUACACAUACAAUCUUCCAGGCCUCACUAUAUGUUCUCUUGCCACAUAACACAGUGAGAAGACCUGGGUGAACAGAAGCAACCAGCACUGUAAAUCCUAACAUUCUGAAAAGCAAGUAGGAGCUAUUAGUUAGUUAAUUGUGAAUUUUAGAAAGACUAAAAAAAAUAAAUUAAGAAAAUAAAUGUUGUCCUGUAAAACACUUUGGCAUAUACAUUAAGACCAAAAGUUGUGUAAAAAGGGCCAUUGUACCAGCUAGUACUGAAGCCUCCUGCUCAUUCCUCUGGGAGAGGUAUCAGGCUCCUCAGUGUAGAAUUAGAGACAUGGAAGGACAAGACCAGCUGUGAAACUAUUGCAGUUUGUGGUUUUGUACACAUUUAUAAAGACAUCGAAGACUAAAUCAUACAAAACAGCAGGAGUUUCUUUCCUGAUUUAAAGUUCCACAGAGGU